AUAUACGGAUUUAUAUUACAUGGAUGGAAAUUUGUAAAAUUAACUCGUAAAAUAUGGAAAACAUGUCAAAAAAUUACUAACUUUCAAAUUUGGAACGAUUUAAUCUUGAACUUCAUGAAAGACAAAUAAAUCAUAAAGUUUUUGUUGUGUUUCAAAAUAAAUGACAAAGUUAUUGUUGACUUGGCAUUUCAGUAAUGUCGUUAAAUAGGUUAACAAAAAUAUUUUACGGCGUUAAUGUCUCGUUUAUUUGCUCUGUUAAAACAAAACGACGUCAUCUACUUCAACUUCUUUCUUUCGUUUUCUCUUCUUUCGAUUUGAUUUGGGCUGAGGAACAUCGUUCGUCUCCUCGCCUGAUGGGAUUCGAAUCGAUUCGGCUUCUAAGGAUUUGAGAUAAUAAAAUCAACUUGGGGAUUUAGAGUUUAAAUUUGUUUCAACAGACAAACGACGUCGUGUGUGUCUGCAAUAAACGAUAUCGUUUUGUUCUAACAGAGCAGAUAAACAGAACAUUAACAUCGUAAAAAAUCUUGUUAACCUAUUUAACGACAUGACUCAAAUGGCAAGUGUUGGAGCUGGAUUCCCCUCCAGGAAU
RNAcentral lists this small RNA (589 nucleotides) under Arabidopsis thaliana (thale cress). RNAcentral's name for it is "ATSL041030". Lineage: Eukaryota; Viridiplantae; Streptophyta; Magnoliopsida; Brassicales; Brassicaceae. The record is from RNAcentral.